AUUGAACGCUGGCGGCAGGCCUAACACAUGCAAGUCGAGCGGAUGAAGGGAGCUUGCUCCUGGAUUCAGCGGCGGACGGGUGAGUAAUGCCUAGGAAUCUGCCUGGUAGUGGGGGAUAACGUCCGGAAACGGGCGCUAAUACCGCAUACGUCCUGAGGGAGAAAGUGGGGGAUCUUCGGACCUCACGCUAUCAGAUGAGCCUAGGUCGGAUUAGCUAGUUGGUGGGGUAAAGGCCUACCAAGGCGACGAUCCGUAACUGGUCUGAGAGGAUGAUCAGUCACACUUGAACUGAGACACGGUCCAGACUCCUAAGGGAGGCAGCAGUGGGGAAUAUUUGACAAUGGGCGAAAGCCUGAUCCAGCCAUGCCGCGUGUGUGAAGAAGGUCUUCGGAUUGUAAAGCACUUUAAGUUGGGAGGAAGGGCAGUAAGUUAAUACCUUGCUGUUUUGACGUUACCAACAGAAUAAGCACCGGCUAACUUCGUG
Molecule: ribosomal RNA, 484 nt
Filed under: uncultured bacterium
Lineage: Bacteria
Description: partial 16S ribosomal RNA
Rfam family: Bacterial small subunit ribosomal RNA
Source: RNAcentral